GCGGGUGUAGUUCAAUGGUAGAACUUCAGCCUUCCAAGCUGACUACGUGGGUUCGAUUCCCAUCACCCGCUCUA
RNAcentral lists this transfer RNA (74 nucleotides) under Cellulosilyticum lentocellum DSM 5427. RNAcentral's name for it is "tRNA-Gly". It matches the Rfam family "tRNA". From Rfam's summary of the family: Transfer RNA (tRNA) molecules are approximately 80 nucleotides in length. Their secondary structure includes four short double-helical elements and three loops (D, anti-codon, and T loops). Further hydrogen bonds mediate the characteristic L-shaped molecular structure. tRNAs have two regions of fundamental functional importance: the anti-codon, which is responsible for specific mRNA codon recognition, and the 3' end, to which the tRNAs corresponding amino acid is attached (by aminoacyl-tRNA synthetases). tRNAs cope with the degeneracy of the genetic code in two manners: having more than one tRNA (with a specific anti-codon) for a particular amino acid; and 'wobble' base-pairing, i.e. permitting non-standard base-pairing at the 3rd anti-codon position. The record is from RNAcentral. Lineage: Bacteria; Bacillati; Bacillota; Clostridia; Lachnospirales; Cellulosilyticaceae. RNAcentral also lists the same sequence under 1 other name.